This 253-nucleotide ribosomal RNA is filed under the name uncultured bacterium. Its description in RNAcentral is "partial 16S ribosomal RNA". It matches the Rfam family "Bacterial small subunit ribosomal RNA", at positions 524 to 776 of the family's 1533-position model. The record is from RNAcentral.
UACGAAGGGGGCUAGCGUUGUUCGGAAUUACUGGGCGUAAAGGGCGCGUAGGCGGUGUGUCAAGUCAGGCGUGAAAGCCCCGGGCUCAACCUGGGAACCGCGCUUGAGACUGGCACGCUAGAGUUCGGGAGAGGAUGGUGGAAUUCCCAGUGUAGAGGUGAAAUUCGUAGAUAUUGGGAAGAACACCGGUGGCGAAGGCGGCUCUCUGGACCGAGACUGACGCUGAGGCGCGAAAGCGUGGGGAGCAAACAGG